This is a long non-coding RNA of Pteropus alecto (black flying fox), 1271 nucleotides long. RefSeq lists it as uncharacterized. The transcript has 2 exons. Lineage: Eukaryota; Metazoa; Chordata; Mammalia; Chiroptera; Pteropodidae. The record is from RefSeq and is a predicted model, not a curated record.
CCGGGAAGGCGGACCCUCAGCCGCCAGUCGCUGCCGGCCGGCCUGCCACUUGGCUGUCCUCCCCUGACCCGGGGAGACUCUGCUGUGGCCGCCUGUUUCGGUGCUAGCCGCCGUCCGGGCGCGUACUACCGCAAGUCUGUCGGGGAGUAGCCGGAGAUCCGGAGUCCUUGUCUCCAGCCCCUGGGUCAGCCCGCAGGCCGGGGCAAGAUCUGUAAGAGGAUGAGGUACCGGGAGGGCUGUGCGCCGGCCAGGACUGCCGCCUCCACCCCACCUCCCACCGUAUCCGCGACCGACCGUCGGACUGCCAGCGAAUGACAAGUGUCUGGUAACUCUGCCUGUGUGGGGGGCACAGUUUUUCUCAGACCAUGUAAGGCAAAGAAAACAUCCAAAAGAGAAGACAGCUAACGCUAGGUCGAUUGCAGUGAAGAUGAAAGCGCCACGCCACGACCACCUGUUUUCAGCUUUAAAAAUACUGUGUUCUCUAAUGAGUUAGCAAGAAUACUAUAAUGGAUGGGAAGCAGUUUCAGGAGAACUUUAAUUUUGUGAAGAUGCUCAUUCAAUAACUUGAAACCACAGGCUUGAGUAUUAAAAUCUGAGAAGUUACACGUAAAAAGAAUUGUAUAAUAUUUUAAAUUCUUGUUAUAUCCAGAAAUAUCUGGUAUGAGUAAAAGCUUAGUCAUCAGAAGGCUUUUGAGUUGUUUGCAUAAAAAUGAGUAUUGUCACUCUUCAAUGGCACCAAGUACUAUUAGGAAGUAGUUCGCAGUCCUUCAUUUGUCAUAGUGGAAACUGAUAAAAAUGAUUGAACCAACUGGUAAACGUGAGGGAUUUUCAGUUUUCAUCACACUAACCUGGAUUCUGAAAGUUGUUUGAGAAGGGCUUAUUAUUUUUACCACUUUGUUUUUUAUUUUACACUCCUGUGUAUCCCAGAGUGAUCUUGUCUUUGGGAAGUCACUUUACUUUUUUUUUUUUAAGCUGGAAUUCUAUUAUUUCACCCCAGCAAGAUACAGCAGAAAAGUGAAAAUUAAGAGACUAAAAUAUUACUAUGCCUUGAGGGACAGAACAGUAAUCAGUACACAGAAAAAAACGCAGUAGGAAGGGAUUUGGUCAGAAAAUUGGUAAGCCAAAUACAGCCAUAAUAGGCCUCUAAAGAAUAUAUUGGUGCUUGACUAUCCUCUUAGUUGUCAAUGGCAUUCAUCGUUACAGAUACAACUGAAAACAUCACUAGAUUAUGCCAGUGGUAAUGUAUUAAAUAAUAAAAUGUUUUAAAGUUA